AUGAUUAGCAAAGCUUGUAGCAGCGUUUUCCUGCUGGAGCUCUAGAGGCUUCGUAUUCUCCCUACAUGUUGCCAAAUGGCUGCCCCCAUCAUACGCCGAAUCGGAUUUGUCGAAUAAUCGUGCGGAGCACCUGAGAGACUCUCUCAAGAGAGUUUCUAGAAACCAAAUUAAAGAAGCGUAAUCCAGGGCAGCGGGGGAACAAGGGAGGGCAAACAUGCAGGGUGGUGGCCAAAAAGGAAAGAGAUCCCACAAUCACAAUCUCCACACAGGAUGGAUGAGGAUGAUGGCCAAAAAUGCAGAGCAGGUCCGCGUGGGGUGCGCACCUGAUGAAGCCGUUGCAGGACUGCAGGGGGUCGUACAGCGUUGUAGCAAGGAGCAGCAUGCGCGGUCGCUGGCGCAGUGGCUCGCUGGUCCGGAUCCAGGAAGCAGAGCCUGCUGCCCCGGCCGCCGCGAUGUCGUCGCAGAGGACAGACAGGGUCAGGUGUCUUGGUCUUGUCUAGUUGUCUUUGCCUCUAGAGAGGUGAGAGGAGCAGGAAUGCAGGAACAGGAGCUGACACCACUGUAGCAAUAUAUAGGCAGGGUUCAACGCUAGCGCAGGCUGUUAAUCACCAUCCAGCACCACUGCAGAUGGCGAAGCGG
RNAcentral lists this long non-coding RNA (639 nucleotides) under Setaria viridis. RNAcentral's name for it is "long non-coding RNA (SVIR_LNC008300)". Lineage: Eukaryota; Viridiplantae; Streptophyta; Magnoliopsida; Poales; Poaceae. The record is from RNAcentral.